This 429-nucleotide ribosomal RNA is filed under the name uncultured bacterium. RNAcentral describes it as "partial 16S ribosomal RNA". It matches the Rfam family "Bacterial small subunit ribosomal RNA", at positions 29 to 503 of the family's 1533-position model. The record is from RNAcentral.
AACGAACGCUGGCGGCAUGCCUAACACAUGCAAGUCGAACGAGACCUUCGGGUCUAGUGGCGCACGGGUGCGUAACGCGUGGGAACCUGCCCUUAGGUUCGGAAUAACUCCCCGAAAGGGGUGCUAAUACCGGAUAAUGUCUUCGGACCAAAGAUUUAUCGCCUUUGGAUGGGCCCGCGUUGGAUUAGCUAGUUGGUAGGGUAAAAGCCUACCAAGGCGACGAUCCAUAGCUGGUCUGAGAGGAUGAUCAGCCACACUGGGACUGAGACACGGCCCAGACUCCUACGGGAGGCAGCAGUGGGGAAUAUUGGACAAUGGGCGAAAGCCUGAUCCAGAAAUGCCGCGUGAGUGAUGAAGGCCUUAGGGUUGUAAAGCUCUUUUACCCGGGAUGAUAAUGACAGUACCGGGAGAAAAAGCUCCGGCUACUCC